GUCGAAGGUGGGGCUGAUGACUGGGGUGAAGUCGUAACAAGGUAUCCGUACCGGAAGGUGCGGAUGGAUCACCUCCUAACAGGGAGACAAACAACGAUUUUGAUGCCUGAGUGUUUUUAUUCUUAGGCCGAAAUCCUGUCACCUUAGGUCGAUCGGUACCUCAGAUUUGAAAUCAAGAUGAUGCAGCAAUGUGUCGUGCUUGAUGGAGAUUUUCAGUUCCUAAACUUUGUCUAGGUCACACCCCAAAAGGGAUGAGACUCCUGGGCCAUUAGCUCAGGUGGUUAGAGCGCACCCCUGAUAAGGGUGAGGUCCCUGGUUCAAGUCCAGGAUGGCCCAUUCGGUGUUGGGGGUUUAGCUCAGUUGGUAGAGCGCCUGCUUUGCAAGCAGGAUGUCAGGAGUUCGAGUCUCCUAACCUCCACUGACCGAACUUUAUCCCCGUCUCCAAUUUGUUGGAGUCGAGCUCGAUUGAUGUGUGAUUUAGAUGUGUCCGCUGGAUGACCCCAGCUUCCUGUCAUUCCAAGUUUUUAAGUUUAAAGCUUUAAAUUUGGUUGAUAAGAUGCUGGGCUCGAACUGAGAAAUCAGUUUGAAGUUCUAGCAGAACCUUGACAACUGCAUAGGUGAAGUCUGGAAAAACAAAGCAUCUUACAGAUGCAUUGUUUUGAGUCUGAUCUUUCGAAAGAGAGAUUAGAACCAGAACAAUGAAAAUUCUUUUGAGCAAGAGCCGAGACUCUUGAAUGUUCUUUGAUUCGUGUCGAGCGAAUCAGAGUUUGAUCUUGUUUUUAGCAAUAAAAACUUGAGAAUCUGCUUUCAACGGCGGUAAGCGUUCAAGAGGUUAAUUGGUCAAGCUACAAAGGGCUCACGGC
RNAcentral lists this unclassified non-coding RNA (863 nucleotides) under uncultured Synechococcus sp. RNAcentral describes it as "partial may contain 16S ribosomal RNA, 16S-23S ribosomal RNA intergenic spacer, and 23S ribosomal RNA". The stretch from base 346 to 418 matches the Rfam family "tRNA". Lineage: Bacteria; Bacillati; Cyanobacteriota; Cyanophyceae; Synechococcales; Synechococcaceae. The record is from RNAcentral.